RNAcentral lists this ribosomal RNA (232 nucleotides) under Salmonella enterica. RNAcentral describes it as "partial 23S ribosomal RNA". It matches the Rfam family "Bacterial large subunit ribosomal RNA", at positions 1116 to 1346 of the family's 2925-position model. Lineage: Bacteria; Pseudomonadati; Pseudomonadota; Gammaproteobacteria; Enterobacterales; Enterobacteriaceae. The record is from RNAcentral.
CCAUCAUUUAAAGAAAGCGUAAUAGCUCACUGGUCGAGUCGGCCUGCGCGGAAGAUGUAACGGGGCUAAACCAUGCACCGAAGCUGCGGCAGCGACACUCAGGUGUUGUUGGGUAGGGGAGCGUUCUGUAAGCCUGUGAAGGUGGCCUGUGAGGGUUGCUGGAGGUAUCAGAAGUGCGAAUGCUGACAUAAGUAACGAUAAAGCGGGUGAAAAGCCCGCUCGCCGGAAGACC